Long non-coding RNA from Notolabrus celidotus (New Zealand spotty), 697 nucleotides. RefSeq lists it as uncharacterized. Lineage: Eukaryota; Metazoa; Chordata; Actinopteri; Labriformes; Labridae. The transcript has 3 exons. The record is from RefSeq and is a predicted model, not a curated record.
CUGCUGGUUUGGAUCAAUACGUCUCCUUCUGUGUUCCCUGUGUGUUACAUGCUCCCAGUGAUUCCCUGUGUUUUCUUUUGGACAUUUUAACUCGGCCAGACGGGAAGAAAAAAACCUCCAGUGUGCGUAAACACUGAUCUAAGAGCUGCUGCAUCUUUAAUCUCCCCUGUUAGAGGAUGUUUUACUGGAAGCAGGAUGACAUCAGCCUGGAGUUUCCACCUGGACUCUGUGGGAUUGAGAUGGGCCGAACAGGGUACCUUCAAAGAGCUCAGGAGGCUUUGAUGAGUCCACUUCCCCUUCCUCGUGGAUCAACAGGGCUGUGGCCUUUACUCGCUCGGAGGAAGACAAAGUCCAUCCUUGAACUGGUAAUCAGCUGCUGCUGCAGGAGAGCGUGAGCCAAGACUCAGAGUGAAGAAAUAACAUCACCACAUAGGACAUGUGGUUUCACUCGGUGUGACACACAGUGCUUUGAUUUCAAGACAGUGGGAUUAUCUUUCAUUAAAAAUAGAUGCCUUCAUAAUUUCUUUUUUAUCCCUAUGAGCCAUCUGGAUGUUUCAGGUCUUAAGAUGUAAUUGUGGGAGAUGACAGUUAGCAGGAGGCUAAUCAUUUUCAGACCAGAUCAUUCUCAUGGUCAGUGGUGUAUGAGGAGCUUCAACAUAAUAUGUUCUUUCUUUGAUAAAAGUAUAAUAGAAAACAA